Molecule: ribosomal RNA, 433 nt
Filed under: uncultured bacterium
Lineage: Bacteria
Description: partial 16S ribosomal RNA
Rfam family: Bacterial small subunit ribosomal RNA
Source: RNAcentral
AACGAACGCUGGCGGCAUGCCUAAUACAUGCAAGUCGAACGAGAUCUUCGGAUCUGGUGGUGCACGGUUGCGAAACGCGUGGUAAUCUGCCCUUGGGUUCGGAAUAACUUCUGAAAACGGAAGCUAAUACCGGAUGAUGCCGUAAGUCCAAAGAUUUAUCACCCAAGGAUGAGGCCGCGUAGGAUUAGCUAGUUGGUAGGGUAACGGCCCACCAAGGCGACGAUCCUUAGCUGGUCUGAGAGGAUGCUCAGCCACACUGGAGCUGAGACACGGCCGAGAAUCCUACGGGAGGCAGGAGUAGGGAAUAUUGGACUAUGGGCGGAGGCAUGAACGCGCACUGCCUCGUGAGUGAUGAAGGCCUUAGGGUAGUAAAGCUCUUUUACCCGGGAUGAUAAUGACGGUACCGGAAGAAUAAGCACCGGCUAACUCCGUG